This 520-nucleotide unclassified non-coding RNA is filed under the name leaf metagenome. RNAcentral describes it as "partial contains internal transcribed spacer 1, 5.8S ribosomal RNA, and internal transcribed spacer 2". The stretch from base 197 to 350 matches the Rfam family "5.8S ribosomal RNA". The record is from RNAcentral.
CAUUAACGAGGAAGGGUUUCCGAAAGGAGCCCGAACUCCCCACCCUUUGCUGUUGCGAAUCUGUUGCUUCGGCGGGCCCGCCCCCCCAUCCCUGGGGGGCCGGCCGGGCCUCACCGCCCGGACAGCGCCCGCCGGAGGACCGAAUCAACUCUGUUUUUAACCAUAAUGUCGGAGUACUUUUGUACAAUCAAAUUAAAACUUUCAACAACGGAUCUCUUGGUUCUGGCAUCGAUGAAGAACGCAGCGAAAUGCGAUAAGUAAUGUGAAUUGCAGAAUUCAGUGAAUCAUCGAAUCUUUGAACGCACAUUGCGCCCCUUGGUAUUCCGAGGGGCAUGCCUGUUCGAGCGUCAUUUCACCAAUCAAGCCCAGCUUGGUAUUAGGCGCCUGGCCGGCCCCCCGUGGCCGGCCCGCCCGAAAUGCAUCGGCGAGGCACCGACCCCCGGCGUGUUAGAAUUUCGAAACGUCAGGAGCACCGGUGUUAACCUCCGCCGUGAAACCUUUCAAACUAUUUUUCUAAGGU